UUAAUUGAAGCCAAACUUCAGAGGCAUAUUAUUGUUAAUAAUAGAAUUGAACAUCAUUCCAAUUAAA
This 67-nucleotide transfer RNA is filed under the name Scelimena sp. 1 XDL-2023a. Its description in RNAcentral is "tRNA-Asn". The record is from RNAcentral. Lineage: Eukaryota; Metazoa; Arthropoda; Insecta; Orthoptera; Tetrigidae.